Long non-coding RNA from Diorhabda carinulata, 585 nucleotides. RefSeq lists it as uncharacterized. The transcript is spliced from 4 exons. Lineage: Eukaryota; Metazoa; Arthropoda; Insecta; Coleoptera; Chrysomelidae. The record is from RefSeq and is a predicted model, not a curated record.
GUUUGUAUAGGGCGGAUUCACACCAAUGGGCACAGUCAGAUCAGGUCACGGCCAGAGACAGUCAAGUCAAGAUCGCUGCCUCGGGAUCUCAAUGAGAGUGUGCUCACUGGCGGGAAUGGUACGCGCACAGUCAGAUUAAGACCGGUGUGCUGCCCGCUGUGAGUGUGAACUACCGCAGCCACAGUCAACCACCUGUCUUCAAACUCUUUAUUACAAUGGAUGAUGAGAGACUCAUUGAAUUGGUCCGAAGGCAGUAAGUUCUAUACGAACUUUCCAGCCCUCACUACAGUUAUGCAUCCCACAAAAUGCAGAAAUGGCAGGAGGUAGGUCAUGCACUAAAACAAGCUUUCAGCCGUGACUUGGCAGCUGCAGAACUGAUCUAAUUAUUAAUGCUUCUUUUACGUGAUGAAGAGAUAUCGAAUUGAGGCAAGGAAUCAACAAAUACCUUUUGGUUAUUGAUAUCGAAAAAUUUAGAAGCAAACAAUCAGCGACCUGAUAGAUUUUGGAGAAUUGUUACAGUUCCAAAGAAAUAUCAUAGGUCAACACUGAACAGAGGAAAAAUAAAUAAGCUUUCCCCAUAAUUAA